Molecule: long non-coding RNA, 6915 nt
Filed under: Brassica napus (rape)
Lineage: Eukaryota; Viridiplantae; Streptophyta; Magnoliopsida; Brassicales; Brassicaceae
Description: long non-coding RNA (BNAP_LNC008988)
Source: RNAcentral
GCAACAUCCGUCUACAAGUAUCAACAAGCCAAUUCUUGGGGAUGAUGUCCCAAAGGCUUCAGAUGUUGCACCCGAAGGGGGACCUUCUUUCCGCCCAAAGGGAAAGGGAAACAUGAAACCAUCUGAUGACGAUGAUGAGAAGAAGACCAAUGAAGGAAAGAGCAGCAAGUCUGGUGGUGUGGAUGAUGCCUAAUGAAGCAGCCGUCGAAUAAUAAAAUUAAUGUUGUCUUGAAAUAAAGUUGUUGUUGUGUCUUUCCAUGCUCAUUUCAUAUUCCUAGUGUUUGUUGUUUAAUUUGGUCAAGCGUCGGUCAUGUUUGUUGUUGUGUCUUAAACCUAAAUAAUGGAAUGUUUAUUUGCUAAUAUAUGGAAAACUAUGAUGCAUAUAUUAUUUGCUAAUUUCUUUUCACACACCUCUUUACUUGAUAUUACGUUGUGAGGGAUAUACAUAGCAUAACCUAAUGGAGUUCCUUCUGCGCCUGUUAACAGACACAUCACUGUCUUUUUCGCCAUAUCUGAUCCUUCUUCCAGCUCCAUGUUAGACGACAAACUCCGAUUGAAAAUAGACAAAAAGCUUGCGAUAUAGACCUUAUGAAAGUGUUAUUAAAAAUUAGUUAUACAUUGGUGAUGAAAUAUAUUUUGAAUAUUCAUUUCACAAAGAAAUAAACUAUUGAAAACAUGUUGCUUCAUUGUCUGAAAAAGUCAAAUUUUGAAGAAAAAAAAGACUAAUCAUUAGAGACCUCUAAAAUCCCAAUUGUCAACCAAAUGAAACUAACCUUAGGCCGUUAAUGAUUUAACCACAACGUUAACACGCAUGCAUGUAACCACAACGUUAAUGGUUAACAACAAGCUUACAACAACCUUAAUAAAGUGGCGAGACUUACAUCAAAGACACAAAAUCUAGAAAUGAUUGGAACUUGACUUGAAAAGAUCCAAACGCAUAAGGUUCUUCUUGUUAAUAAACAUGAACCAUUUAGAUUUUCAAUAUACUAAUACAAACUAAGACAAAUAUCUUCUCCAAUCACCACCCCAAAUCAUUACCAAACGCACAACUGUAACUAAGCAAGAAGUACAUUAGGACCAAUCUCUUAAUCGUUGUCACGGAUUGGUCGCGUGUCAAUCAAGAUCAUCAAGAUCACUUUUAUGUCUUAGUGCUUCUUCUUCUUCUUCUUCUUGUUAUUAUUAUAUUUUGGUUUCUUGAGCAAAAAGUGUUAUGUUGUGAUCUUCAUUUGCCUUAGAGACAGAUAAGCUAGGAGGCGGUAACCGAAGAUCAUGGCAACGAGUGCAACCACUUCAGUCAGUCCAUUGUCUAUUCUCAUCCCGUUGAUAGAUUGAGCAAAGUCUUUAUACUGCACUUUAAGAAGAAGCUUGUAGGUGUGGUAAUUGAAGGAUAGGUAACGUAUCCAGGAGAUGAACACCGGUAAGACCUAGGAGACAAAAAAAAGUUACCUUCAAUAUAUGUUUGAGGAUUCCUUGACCCUGCUGAGUGAUCUCCCACAUCCUUAUGGUACUAUCUUGUGAACUGCACAAUAACAUGUUAACAAGAUAAAACACCAAUAAGAAACAUUUCAGGUUAUUAUAAAAAUGUAUGUACCCUGUGUAUAUAGUUCCAUCACCACCCCAUUUGACACAGGUCACAGCUCGUGUGUGUCCACUGAGGACAAUAAGAGUUCUCUUCAGUGUAAAGUCCCAGAUCCUUGCAUCCCCAUCUUUGCCACAAGUCACAAAUCUCCUGCUUGGAUAACUAAGAUGAGCUGGUUCCCACGCGAUACCACAAAUCCACUUCUUGUGACCCUACGAAAAAUUGAAGAUCUAUCAGUAAACACACACAAAAAAAAACAUAACCAACAAAACAUUUAUAAAGUAAAGAAGAGUUUAACUGAAAGUGCAUUGCCCUGUAAUUCUCCUUUGCUUGGAUCCCAACAACAGACUUUUCCAUCUCUAUCACCGCUCACAAGACACUUUGCAUCUGGUGACCAUGCAACUGCGAGAACAUGUUCCUUGUGCCCUGAACAAACGUUACAGGAACUAUGUUUAUUACAAGAAAUCUAAAUAUAGAUAGACAUCAUUAAAAAGAAAAUCAUAAGACGUUUCGAACCUUUGCAUGUAAACAUUGGAGUUUCAGUGUUGAGAUCCCAAAGCCUUACAGUUUUAUCACCUGAACCACUUGCUAGUUGCUUACCGUCAGGGCUAAACGAAACACAGAGAAUCUCACCCUCAUGAACUAACAAAAGCCAAUCAUAAUCACUCGAACCAUCUCUUCUAAAACUCAAAUACAAAAAUCAACAUUAACUUUAACAUAUAAUAUAUAUAUACCAUCGCUUAUUGUCUGUGAGCAACGGUAAACCGGGCGAAUCCUGAAAACAGCUUGUUGUCGAUAAACAAUCUUCAAAACAUUCUCCACGGACACUAAACCACACAUGUUCAUGUCAAAACAUUAAUAAAAAAUAUACUAAGAUAAUGUUUUCUAUAGAAAACAUAAGAGACCAAACUGCUUUGCUUAUUAUUAGGGUUUUACCGCUAUUUCUCUCCAUGCAAGUUCCCACUGAGACAAGAAGCUCUUCAUCUGAUACAUAGAAGCUGUAAGAUAACUUCUCCUCCUGGAUAUUAUCAAUUUCCCAUGAAGUCAUUUCAAUAUUAGGUUCGGUAAGUAUAAUCAAUAUCAGAUUCGAAAGGAUAGAAGAAUAUACAUUGUUGAGAAACGUAUUGACCAAGUUGGUGAGCUGCAAAUGCCCUGCGUUGUGAGGGAUAUACAUAGCAGAACCUAGUGGAGUUCCUUCUGCGUCUGUUAACAGACACAUCACUGUGUUCAUCGCCAUCUCCGACGCUUCCGGCUCUAUGUUAGACGACAGACUCCGAUGGAAAAUCGACAAAGGCUUUGCCAUAUAAAUAUAAACCCUAAAAGUAAAAGUUAUUUAUUUAAGUAAAUCCUCCAAAUUAACCCUCUAUUUAUAAAUAAACCCCAAAUUUUCCUUUUGAAGUCUUAUAACCCCUAAAUUACAAUUGCCAACCUAAAUGUUUUCAUGUAACGCCGUUAAUGAUUUAACCACGACGUGGUUAACACGCAUUUAACAUUAGAGAUCUUAAACUGCAAAGGAUUUAACCACAGUGUGGUAUUUUUUUUUUGGUAAGUGGGCUUUAAUUGUUGGUUAGCAUACAACUGUCAUUCUCGGAGAUUUGGACUUUAAAGGUAGGUAGGUACAUGUGCUAGUAGUUAACAAACAAACACACACUUAACAGUAGUUCAAACGCAACAACUCAGAAACUUCAGUUUUGUGUCUUUAUCCCAUCCUCUCAACUCUCUCUAUAAAUAAGAUUUCAAGUGCAUGCAUGUCUAUCUAUAUUUCAACAUCACAAAUACAAAAGAAAGAAACUCAAAGCGACGGCCAUGGCAAAAGUUGGGGAUCUAGAGACAUGCAUCAAUAACAGAAUUAAAGAGAUCGAGGAGGAAGAAGAACGUAAUUUGAAGAUACUUAAGGAGUUGGAGACUCAGAUCAUGUCCCCAACUUAACCUUUCCAUAGUUUAAGAGCUUUAUCAAGACCACCAGAAGCUACUUUCUCACCAUCUGGACUCCAAUCCACAGCCCAAACCUUUCCAACACAACAAAAAAAACGAAAAAUUAUGAGAGAAAAGAGUGUAAAAAAAAAAAGCAAAACCAACAACUUGAGCUUUGAAGUAGUUUGAUACCUCAUCCUUAUGACCAGGGAGAUCAUGUUUUAGCUUUUUUGUUCCAAUCUCCCAUACCUGUCAAAGUCAAACAUAUUGAGGUUUAUUUGGUAGUUCUACUCUCUACUGUGUUAUCAAAUGUAAAAACAGGAUUUCACCUUGAGAGUUGAAUCUUUGCUGCAACUCAAAAGCAUCCUACUGUCAGGUGACCAACUGAUCUGAUAGACACAGUUAGCGUGGCCUCGGAAUGCUGUAAUAAAUUUUCCUGUGACACCAUCCCAUAGCUUCACAGAUUUAUCGAACGAUGCACUUGCAAUCCAUUGCCCAUUUGGUGAGAAAUACACAUGGUUUACAAGCUGUUUAUUGAGUUGACACCAAACAAAAUGUAAGAGUUCAAAAAUAAAAACAGAAACAAAAAAAAAAAAAAAAGUUUAGUAGCUAGUAGUAACCUGUUGAUGACCAGUACCAACCUGGCUGUAGUAACCAUUUUUUGUUUAGGUUGUAAGCUAACGGAUGGUUCCCAAAGGAUUAUCGUAAAAUCAUCAGAACCAGACACUAAUCUUUCAGGAGAAUCUACUUUCCCUUUUGCUUUGAUGUAUCUUUCAAGUGCAAUCUUACCACACAUAUAGGGAGAGGAUCAGAAUCAGGCUAGAAAAAGACGAGGCAAAGCCAGUAGAAUCAUCAGAAGCUUAUUGUUACCUUUUUCAUUUCUUCAUCUGAACCUGUUACUUGUCUAGUGUUGUCAAACGCUCCUGUCCGAAGAACAUAUUCUGUACUCAAUGAAAGGGAGUUCACCCAACCGGCAUGGUCCUGAAGAAGCAAGUAACUUGAGAAAUGUUAUCUUAAAGUAAAGACCUAGGAGACAAAAAAAAGUUACCUUCAAUAUAUGUUUGAGGAUUCCUUGACCCUGCUGAGUGAUCUCCCACAUCCUUAUGGUACUAUCUUGUGAACUGCACAAUAACAUGUUAACAAGAUAAAACACCAAUAAGAAACAUUUCAGGUUAUUAUAAAAAUGUAUGUACCCUGUGUAUAUAGUUCCAUCACCACCCCAUUUGACACAGGUCACAGCUCGUGUGUGUCCACUGAGGACAAUAAGAGUUCUCUUCAGUGUAAAGUCCCAGAUCCUUGCAUCCCCAUCUUUGCCACAAGUCACAAAUCUCCUGCUUGGAUAACUAAGAUGAGCUGGUUCCCACGCGAUACCACAAAUCCACUUCUUGUGACCCUACGAAAAAUUGAAGAUCUAUCAGUAAACACACACAAAAAAAAACAUAACCAACAAAACAUUUAUAAAGUAAAGAAGAGUUUAACUGAAAGUGCAUUGCCCUGUAAUUCUCCUUUGCUUGGAUCCCAACAACAGACUUUUCCAUCUCUAUCACCGCUCACAAGACACUUUGCAUCUGGUGACCAUGCAACUGCGAGAACAUGUUCCUUGUGCCCUGAACAAACGUUACAGGAACUAUGUUUAUUACAAGAAAUCUAAAUAUAGAUAGACAUCAUUAAAAAGAAAAUCAUAAGACGUUUCGAACCUUUGCAUGUAAACAUUGGAGUUUCAGUGUUGAGAUCCCAAAGCCUUACAGUUUUAUCACCUGAACCACUUGCUAGUUGCUUACCGUCAGGGCUAAACGAAACACAGAGAAUCUCACCCUCAUGAACUAACAAAAGCCAAUCAUAAUCACUCGAACCAUCUCUUCUAAAACUCAAAUACAAAAAUCAACAUUAACUUUAACAUAUAAUAUAUAUAUACCAUCGCUUAUUGUCUGUGAGCAACGGUAAACCGGGCGAAUCCUGAAAACAGCUUGUUGUCGAUAAACAAUCUUCAAAACAUUCUCCACGGACACUAAACCACACAUGUUCAUGUCAAAACAUUAAUAAAAAAUAUACUAAGAUAAUGUUUUCUAUAGAAAACAUAAGAGACCAAACUGCUUUGCUUAUUAUUAGGGUUUUACCGCUAUUUCUCUCCAUGCAAGUUCCCACUGAGACAAGAAGCUCUUCAUCUGAUACAUAGAAGCUGUAAGAUAACUUCUCCUCCUGGAUAUUAUCAAUUUCCCAUGAAGUCAUUUCAAUAUUAGGUUCGGUAAGUAUAAUCAAUAUCAGAUUCGAAAGGAUAGAAGAAUAUACAUUGUUGAGAAACGUAUUGACCAAGUUGGUGAGCUGCAAAUGCCCUGCGUUGUGAGGGAUAUACAUAGCAGAACCUAGUGGAGUUCCUUCUGCGUCUGUUAACAGACACAUCACUGUGUUCAUCGCCAUCUCCGACGCUUCCGGCUCUAUGUUCGACGACAAACUCCGAUGGAAAAUAGACAAAGGCUUUUGCGAUAUAAAUAUAAACCCUAAAAGUAAAAGUUAUUUAUUUAAGUAAAUCCUCCAAAUUAACCCUCUAUUUAUAAAUAAACCCCAAAUUUUCCUUUUGAAGUCUUAUAACCCCUAAAUUACAAUUGCCAACCUAAAUGUUUUCAUGUAACGCCGUUAAUGAUUUAACCACGACGUGGUUAACACGCAUUUAACAUUAGAGAUCUUAAACUGCAAAGGAUUUAACCACAGUGUGGUAUUUUUUUUUUGGUAAGUGGGCUUUAAUUGUUGGUUAGCAUACAACUGUCAUUCUCGGAGAUUUGGACUUUAAAGGUAGGUAGGUACAUGUGCUAGUAGUUAACAAACAAACACACACUUAACAGUAGUUCAAACGCAACAACUCAGAAACUUCAGUUUUGUGUCUUUAUCCCAUCCUCUCAACUCUCUCUAUAAAUAAGAUUUCAAGUGCAUGCAUGUCUAUCUAUAUUUCAACAUCACAAAUACAAAAGAAAGAAACUCAAAGCGACGGCCAUGGCAAAAGUUGGGGAUCUAGAGACAUGCAUCAAUAACAGAAUUAAAGAGAUCGAGGAGGAAGAAGAACGUAAUUUGAAGAUACUUAAGGAGUUGGAGACUCAGAUCAUGUCCCCAACGGAAAAAGGUCGUAGCCUUUGAUCACCUUUCUCAAACCGAUAUUGAUUAAAAAAUUCUUUCUUUUUUUUGAGAUUGAGAUUGAUAAUUUAAGAUUGAUAAUUUAGGUACGCAACAUCCGUCUACAAGUAUCAACAAGCCAAUUCUUGGGGAUGAUGUCCCAAAGGCUUCAGAUGUUGCACCCGAAGGGGGACCUUCUUUCCGCCCAAAGGGAAAGGGAAACAUGAAACCAUCUGAUGACGAUGAUGAGAAGAAGACCAAUGAAGGAAAGAGCAGCAAGUCUGGUGGUGUGGAUGAUGCCUAAUGAAGCAGCCGUC